GUAGUACUAGUGUCUCUACCGUCAUGGUACAGCCGCAGAAUCACAGCCGCGGUUUCUUCAAUCGCCUUAUUCGUCACAUCUGCAAGCGCCACAACCCCAAGAAUAACACAUGAGAAUACUCUGCCUACUUGUUAACUUUUUUUCUUACUAGCAUUAAAAGGAAAGAAAAAAACAGCAUUUUGAGUAGCAAAUGAGAAUGGUGUUUAAGUUUUGUUUACCUAUCACUGCCCAUCCGGGGUUUCGCUCAUAGAUCCUUGACGCGAAAUCUAGUUCUUUCCGAACAAGAUCAAUCCCCGAGUAAUUGUUCUCUGCCUCUGUAUCUACGCCUAGCGUUUUAACCCUUGUUCUUCUAAUCGCUUGCAGUACAACGAGCUGGAUCUUCAAACCAAAAACUUUUCUCGGUUCAACCUGAAAGAGCGUCCUGGGUGGUUCCACGCCCAUCACAAACGGCACAUUAGCAACUUUGUACCCUUUUUGAGCAAUGUAAGUGGACAAGGGCGUCUUCCCUGUCCGGGAAACCCCGACAAGAACUAUAUCAGCCUUGCUUAAGUUCUCAGGUGCUCCACGUGUAAGACCUGACGGAGAAACACCUAAGUGAGACGCAAUCCCUUCGAUGAUUGGUCCUAGAAUAUCAACCGAAAGCACACCCAACUGAUCACAAGCUUGCUUUGCGGAUUUUGCCAUAGAAGGAUUUGCUAAAGUGUAGAAACACAUUGCCCCUUCCUUUGCCGCUUGCUUAAUAAUCUCGAUAAGCCUCUCCUCAUCCUCAACCUGAUCAAUCCCCAACCCAAAACCAAAGAGAAGAGAUGGGUAUUCACAGAAGAGCCACGAUUCAACGAAAAAUCUUCGAAUUGUCCCAAAGCGGCGUUAACGGAAUGCUCUGCCGUCCACCCAGUUCCGUCGGAAACCAAAUAUAUAGACUUUCCCGCCGUUACCUCCACGUCGAUCGCCGUCGUCUUCUUAUCAGCCUCAUCGGUCGGUUGGGCUUCCGUUACUUGACGGCGAGGUGAGUUAUCGGAACGGGGAAUUGGACGGUCAAGCUUAACACCAGAUCUUAAAGCUCGGCCCCUAGACCACCGAUUCAAUUUGGGACUAAUCUUCAGCUUCGGACUCGACGAACCUGUCGGAAUUGGAGGUUCGGAAUUAGGCUCGUGAUGGCCCGAGACGCCGUGUAAAUUCAUAUCGCCAAAGUUUAUGAUAACUUUUUUUUUUUUUUUUUUCUGAGCGACGGUUAAGGCGUUAACCGCU
Molecule: long non-coding RNA, 1248 nt
Organism: Arabidopsis thaliana (thale cress)
Lineage: Eukaryota; Viridiplantae; Streptophyta; Magnoliopsida; Brassicales; Brassicaceae
Product: other RNA
Exons: 3
Source: RefSeq